CCUACGGGUGGCAGCAGUGAGGAAUAUUGGUCAAUGGCCGAGAGGCUGAACCAGCCAAGUCGCGUGAGGGAAGACGGCCCUACGGGUUGUAAACCUCUUUUGUCGGGGAGCAAAGAGAGUCACGUGUGACUCAUUGAGAGUACCCGAAGAAAAAGCAUCGGCUAACUCCGUGCCAGCAGCCGCGGUAAUAAGGAGGAUGCGAGCGGUAUCCGGAUUUAUUGGGUUUAAAGGGUGCGCAGGCGGAGGUGCAAGUCAGCGGUCAAAUUGCGGUGCUCAACCCCGUACUGCCGUUGAAACUGCAGCCCUUGAGUGCGCGAGAAGUAUGCGGAAUGCGUGGUGUAGCGGUGAAAUGCAUAGAUAUCACGCAGAACUCCGAUUGCGAAGGCAGCAUACCGGCGCGCAACUGACGCUCAUGCACGAAAGCGUGGGUAUCGAACAGGAUUAGAUACCCCAGUAGUC
This 459-nucleotide ribosomal RNA is filed under the name uncultured bacterium. RNAcentral's name for it is "partial 16S ribosomal RNA". It matches the Rfam family "Bacterial small subunit ribosomal RNA", at positions 338 to 795 of the family's 1533-position model. The record is from RNAcentral.